This 600-nucleotide ribosomal RNA is filed under the name uncultured freshwater bacterium. RNAcentral's name for it is "bacterial SSU rRNA". It matches the Rfam family "Bacterial small subunit ribosomal RNA", at positions 8 to 604 of the family's 1533-position model. The record is from RNAcentral.
AGAGUUUGAUCCUGGCUCAGAUUGAACGCUGGCGGCAUGCCUUACACAUGCAAGUCGAACGGUAACGCGGGGCAACCUGGCGACGAGUGGCGAACGGGUGAGUAAUACAUCGGUAACGUGCCCAGUAGUGGGGGAUAGCCCGGCGAAAGCCGGAUUAAUACCGCAUACGACCUACGGGUGAAAGCGGGGGACCGCAAGGCCUCGCGCUAUUGGAGCGGCCGAUGUCAGAUUAGGUAGUUGGUGGGGUAAAGGCCUACCAAGCCUGCGAUCUGUAGCUGGUCUGAGAGGACGACCAGCCACACUGGGACUGAGACACGGCCCAGACUCCUACGGGAGGCAGCAGUGGGGAAUUUUGGACAAUGGGCGCAAGCCUGAUCCAGCCAUGCCGCGUGCGGGAAGAAGGCCUUCGGGUUGUAAACCGCUUUUGUCAGGGAAGAAAUCCUUUGGGCUAAUACCCUGAAGGGAUGACGGUACCUGAAGAAUAAGCACCGGCUAACUACGUGCCAGCAGCCGCGGUAAUACGUAGGGUGCAAGCGUUAAUCGGAAUUACUGGGCGUAAAGCGUGCGCAGGCGGUUGUGCAAGACAGGUGUGAAAUCCCC